Molecule: ribosomal RNA, 495 nt
Filed under: uncultured Pseudomonadota bacterium
Lineage: Bacteria; Pseudomonadati; Pseudomonadota
Description: bacterial SSU rRNA
Rfam family: Bacterial small subunit ribosomal RNA
Source: RNAcentral
GAAGAAGGCCUGAGGGUUGUAAAGCACUUUCAGUGGGGAGGAGUUUGAUAGGUUAAGAGCUAGAUUAAAGGACGUACCCACAGAAGAAGCACCGGCUAACUCCGUGCCAGCAGCGCGGUAAUACGGAGGGUGCAAGCGUUAAUCGGAAUUACUGGGCGUAAAGGGUGCGUAGGUGGUUUAAUAAGUUAUGUGUAAAAGCCCUGGGCUCAACCUGGGAAGGUCAGAUAAGACUGUUAGACUAGAGUAUAGGAGAGGGUAGUGGAAUUUCCGGUGUAGCGGUGAAAUGCGUAGAGAUCGGAAGGAACACCAGUGGCGAAGGCGGCUACCUGGCCGGAUACUGACACUGAAGCACGAAAGCGUGGGGAGCAAACAGGAUUAGAUACCCUGGUAGUCCACGCUGUAAACGAUGUCAACUAGCUGUUGUUCAUAUGAAUGUGAAUAGUGGCGCAGCAAACGCGAUAAGUUGACCGCCUGGGGAGUACGGUCGCAAGAUUA